GAUCUCUACAGCUCUGUGAAAGCAGGUUGUGACAAGGUUGGGGUCAGCCUUCUCUCCAAGCCUGUGCUUGCAGCACUGGUUGUUGCUAGGUGGAAGUGGUGUCAGCCCAGAGUCAUCCUGCCCAAGAUCCCCUCAUGUUUGCAGGGGUGCAUCCCUGAGAUGGAGCACUCCAGGCCACCUCCUGGCAUUGUGCUCCUGAGCCUUUAAUCAUCCACAGCAUUGGCAAACUGUUUCCUCGAGGAGACAAUUGAUAAAGCUGAUGAAAAGGGAUCUAAAUUCCUCAUCAGGCUCAAGCUCUGAAAAGCUGGAUUUCCGCAGCACAGCGCAAAGUGCAGCCAUAUGAAAGGUUGAAAAAUAUAUGUAUAUGAAUACAGAAAGAAAGGAAUGCACGGCACUGCACAGCCUUUGCAACGUGCAGGCUGCAGCAAGUGGUGAUUUCAGCAUCUUUCUUCCACCCCUGUGCAGAAUACCAAAAAAGAACAUCUUUUUCGACAUCACCAGUGCAAUUACGGAGUAAUUCCCACAUUGAUGUUGUUCCAGACCAUCUGAUCCCAGCCUCUGGAAGUCCUUCCUGCUGGAAAGCAGCAGUCCCUGUAUGAACUACGAGCACGGUUGAGUCGGAAGUCGCCUUCAUAACAGCUUUGAUGUUUCAACGCUUUUUACAGGAGAUGAGAUUUGAUAACCUGCUUCCUGACCUGUGGAUAGAGAGCAGAAUGAAACCCAAAUUCUUGAGAGAGUAACCAAACACCUCUGGGAAGAGCCACAGAACAGUCGGGCUGAUUUGUAGGGCCGUGGGUUUGCCAGGAAACCUCCCUGAGCUAUUACUUUAAAUUGCCACUAAGUGGCAGCCAAGUAAAAAUUAUGGUAAAAUGAAACUUUCCCAAAUAAAUAUUUCAUCUAACGUCAGCGCAAGGUGCAGCAGCAUCAACAGAAUUCCUGAGCCCUGUGGUGCCCGGGAAGCUACACCAAGGGAGGAGAUGGCAAUAAGAGGGAUCUGUGGGAAUCCAUGUGGGUUUUCCUUGGGAGGAGCACAGUGUGCAGCAUGGUGUGCUUCCUGACUUGUUACAGAACCACAGAAUC
This 1080-nucleotide long non-coding RNA is filed under the name Gallus gallus (chicken). RNAcentral describes it as "lncRNA (ENSGALG00010019656.1)". The record is from RNAcentral. Lineage: Eukaryota; Metazoa; Chordata; Aves; Galliformes; Phasianidae.